Non-coding RNA from Acomys russatus (golden spiny mouse), 140 nucleotides. RefSeq annotates it as small Cajal body-specific RNA 3. The transcript has a single exon. Lineage: Eukaryota; Metazoa; Chordata; Mammalia; Rodentia; Muridae. The record is from RefSeq and is a predicted model, not a curated record.
UAUGGAAGCUGCAGAACCAGCCAUGCAGACAAAUGAGAAACCAUCUUUUGUCUACAGAAGGCACCAAUCCUACAGAAAUGUGGAGCUCUUUGUCUGACUUAGGACAGCUGGCUAAGUCUGGUUGUUCCCCUCCAUACAGC